GCACUUCUUGCUGCCAACAUGUGAAGAAAGACGUGUUUGCUUCCCCUUCCACCAUGAUUGUAAAAUCAACAAGGAAGGUGAUGAGCACAGCAGUGUGAAGGUAUAUAGAUCAACGGAGCAGAACAGAGGCCUCAGAAACAACAGCACACAUCUACAACCAUCUGAUCUUUGACAAACCUGACAAAAACAAGAAAUGGGGAAAUGAUUCCCUAUUUAAUAAAUGGUGCUGGGAAAACUGGCUAGCCGUAUGUAGAAAGCUGAAACUGGAUCCCUUCCUUACACCUUAUAUAAAAAUUAAUUCAAGAUGGAUUAAAGACUUAAAUGUCAGACCUAAAACCAUAAAAGCCCUAGAAGAAAACCUAGGCAAUACCAUUCAGGACAUAGGCAUGGGCAAGGACUUCAUGAUUAAAACACCAAAAGCAAUGGCAACAAAAGCCAAAAUAGACAAAUGGGAUCUAAUUAAACUAAAGAGCUUUUUGCACAGCAAAAGAAACUACCAUCAGAGUGAACAGGCAACCUACAGAAUGGGAGAAAAUUUUUGCCAUCUACCUAUCUGACAAAGGGCUAAUAUCCAGAAUCUACAAAUAACUCAAACAAAUUUACAAGAAAAGAAAACAAACAACCCCAUGAAAAAGUGGGCAAAGGACAUGAACAGACACUUCUCAAAAGAAGACAUCUAUGCAGCCAACAGACACAUGAAAAAAUGCUCAUUAUCACUGGUCAUCAGAGAAAUUCAAAUCAAAACCACAAUGAGAUACCAUCUCAUGCCAGUUAGAAUGGCAAU
RNAcentral lists this long non-coding RNA (784 nucleotides) under Pan troglodytes (chimpanzee). RNAcentral's name for it is "lincRNA". The record is from RNAcentral. Lineage: Eukaryota; Metazoa; Chordata; Mammalia; Primates; Hominidae.